This 707-nucleotide small RNA is filed under the name Pan troglodytes (chimpanzee). Its description in RNAcentral is "processed transcript". The record is from RNAcentral. Lineage: Eukaryota; Metazoa; Chordata; Mammalia; Primates; Hominidae.
CAUACAUCAUCAGCGCUGCUCCCCCAGGGACGGACCCCUACACAGCUGGAUUGGCUGCAGCAGCGACACUAGGCCCAGCUGUGGUCCCUCACCAGUAUUAUGGAGUUACUCCCUGGGGAGUCUACCCUGCCAGUCUUUUCCAGCAGCAAGCUGCUGCUGCCGCUGCAGCAACUAAUUCAGCUAAUCAACAGACCACCCCACAGGCUCAGCAAGGACAGCAGCAGGUUCUCCGUGGAGGAGCCAGCCAACGUCCUUUGACCCCAAACCAGAACCAGCAGGGACAGCAAACAGAUCCCCUUGUGGCAGCUGCAGCAGUGAAUUCUGCCCUUGCAUUUGGACAAGGUCUGGCAGCAGGCAUGCCAGGUUAUCCGGUGUUGGCUCCUGCUGCUUACUAUGACCAAACUGGUGCCCUUGUAGUGAAUGCAGGCGCAAGAAAUGGUCUUGGAGCUCCUGUUCGACUUGUAGCUCCUGCCCCAGUCAUCAUUAGUUCCUCAGCUGCACAAGCAGGUGAGCGCACAUCUGAGUGGACUCCUGCCAGAGAUCUAAAAGUGGCGACUGAUAGUGAGAUUCUUAAACUGUUGCAGCAGCCGCAGCUUCAGCAAAUGGAGCAGCUGGUGGUCUUGCUGGAACAACAAAUGGACCAUUUCGCCCUUUAGGAACACAGCAGCCUCAGCCCCAGCCCCAGCAGCAGCCCAAUAACAACCUGG